This 248-nucleotide ribosomal RNA is filed under the name uncultured phototrophic eukaryote. RNAcentral describes it as "partial 16S ribosomal RNA". It matches the Rfam family "Bacterial small subunit ribosomal RNA", at positions 438 to 700 of the family's 1533-position model. The record is from RNAcentral.
CCUAAGGAGGAAGAUUUGACGUUACUUAGGAGACGAAGCAUCGGCUAACUCCGUGCCAGCAGCCGCGGUAAGACGGAGGAUGCAAGUGUUAUCCGGAAUUACUGGGCGUAAAGCGUCUGCAGGUGGUUUUUUAAGUCCACUGUUAAACCUUGAGGCUCAACCUCAAAUCAGCAUUGGAAACUGGGAAACUUGAGUAUAGUAGGGGUAGAGGGAAUUUCCAGUGGAGCGGUGAAAUGCGUAGAUAUUGG